GACGAACGCUGGCGGCGUGCCUAACACAUGCAAGUCGAGCGGGGAACAUUGAAAGCUUGCUUUUGGUGUUUCUAGCGGCGGACGGGUGAGUAACGCGUGAGCAAUCUGUCUCAGACAGGGGGAUAACGCAGCGAAAGUUGCACUAAUACCGCAUAAGACCACAGAGCCACAUGGCAUAGGGGUCAAAGGAGCAAUCCGGUCUGAGGUGAGCUCGCGUCCCAUUAGGUAGUUGGUGAGGUAACGGCCCACCAAGCCUGCGAUGGGUAGCCGACCUGAGAGGGUGAUCGGCCACACUGGAACUGAGACACGGUCCAGACUCCUACGGGAGGCAGCAGUGGGGAAUCUUCCGCAAUGGGCGCAAGCCUGACGGAGCAACGCCGCGUGAGUGAAGAAGGGUUUCGACUCGUAAAGCUCUGUUGUCGGGGACGAAUGUGGAGAUGGUGAAUAACCAUUUCUAAUGACGGUACCUGACGAGGAAGCCACGGCUAACUACG
RNAcentral lists this ribosomal RNA (494 nucleotides) under uncultured bacterium. RNAcentral's name for it is "bacterial SSU rRNA". It matches the Rfam family "Bacterial small subunit ribosomal RNA", at positions 28 to 505 of the family's 1533-position model. The record is from RNAcentral.